RNAcentral lists this ribosomal RNA (492 nucleotides) under uncultured bacterium. Its description in RNAcentral is "partial 16S ribosomal RNA". It matches the Rfam family "Bacterial small subunit ribosomal RNA", at positions 29 to 507 of the family's 1533-position model. The record is from RNAcentral.
AGUGAACGCUGGCGGUAGGCCUAACACAUGCAAGUCGAACGGCAGCACAGUAAGAGCUUGCUCUUACGGGUGGCGAGUGGCGGACGGGUGAGGAAUACAUCGGAAUCUACUUUUUCGUGGGGGAUAACGUAGGGAAACUUACGCUAAUACCGCAUACGACCUACGGGUGAAAGCAGGGGAUCUUCGGACCUUGCGCGAUUGAAUGAGCCGAUGUCGGAUUAGCUAGUUGGCGGGGUAAAGGCCUACCAAGGCGACGAUCCGUAGCUGAUCUGAGAGGAUGAUCGGCCACACUGGAACUGAGACACGGUCCAGACUCCUACGGGAGGCAGCAGUGGGGAAUAUUGGACAAUGGGCGCAAGCCUGAUCCAGCCAUACCGCGUGGGUGAAGAAGGCCUUCGGGUUGUAAAGCCCUUUUGUUGGGAAAGAAAAGCAGCAGGUUAAUACCCCGCUGUUCUGACGGUACCCAAAGAAUAAGCACCGGCUAACUUCGUG